This is a non-coding RNA of Potamilus streckersoni, 74 nucleotides long. NCBI's taxonomy places the organism in Eukaryota, Metazoa, Mollusca, Bivalvia, Unionida, Unionidae. The record is from the annotation of a GenBank genome assembly.
CGCUCUGGUGACCUAGUGGUUAGUGUGACCGCCUCGUACGCGUGAGGUCGUGGGUUCGAUACCUGGUCGAGUCA